CCAGGUUCUGCUAUUCGAUAUUGGACGGAGAGUGUCUUGGUCAUGUCUACAUAGUUCUCGAACCCGCAGGGUCUGCACACUUAAGGUUCGGUGACAUUUUACGGUAUAGUUGAAUUAUUGAUGUUGGUAAUCGAAUGUUCUUCGGAGUCCCGGAUGAGAUCUCGGACGUCACGAGUGUCUCCGGGAUGGUCCGGAAAAGAAGAUUGAUAGAUAGUAUUGUUGCAUUUGGGUUCAGGAAAGAUUUCGGGCAUUACGAGUAAAGUACCGGGAGUGAUGAAUGGCUUCCGGGGUUUUACCGGGAGGGGCCACCCACCCGGAAGAGAACCUAAUAGGCCCAUGGGUGGCGCACCAACCUUUAGUGGGCUGGUGAGGCCAGC
Molecule: long non-coding RNA, 377 nt
Filed under: Hordeum vulgare
Lineage: Eukaryota; Viridiplantae; Streptophyta; Magnoliopsida; Poales; Poaceae
Description: long non-coding RNA (HVUL_LNC008625)
Source: RNAcentral